GGAUUAGAUACCCUGGUAGUCCACACCGUAAACGAUGAAUGCCAGUCGUCGGGUAGCAUGCUAUUCGGUGACACACCUAACGGAUUAAGCAUUCCGCCUGGGGAGUACGGUCGCAAGAUUAAAACUCAAAGAAAUUGACGGGGGCCCGCACAAGCGGUGGAGCAUGUGGUUUAAUUCGAAGCAACGCGCAGAACCUUACCAACCCUUGACAUCCUAGGACCGUUCCAGAGAUGGAUCUUUCACUUCGGUGACCUAGUGACAGGUGCUGCAUGGCUGUCGUCAGCUCGUGCC
RNAcentral lists this ribosomal RNA (291 nucleotides) under uncultured bacterium. RNAcentral's name for it is "partial 16S ribosomal RNA". It matches the Rfam family "Bacterial small subunit ribosomal RNA", at positions 775 to 1066 of the family's 1533-position model. The record is from RNAcentral.